GGCCUCCUAGUGCUUACCACAGGCUGUGUUCCUACACUGACUGUGUUGAAAGAGGAGACAGAGUAGACCUCUCCCGUAUGCACCUCAGCUCAGGCCUUGUGCCUCAUCUGUGUUGUGAAUGGAGGGACAUGG
Molecule: small nucleolar RNA, 132 nt
Organism: Oryctolagus cuniculus (rabbit)
Lineage: Eukaryota; Metazoa; Chordata; Mammalia; Lagomorpha; Leporidae
Source: Ensembl